UGAGUUUGAAUUUGAGUGUGCAUAAGGCUAUCUCUCAAGAGAGAGAGAGGCAUUCAUCGCAUGAUAAAUGCUCAAAAUGGGCCUGCUCAGUAUGAGGUAAGCUACCCAAAUUUCUUUUUGUACUUAAAUUAAUGAAAGGAUACGCUAAAAGUAUGCCUUGUUUAGAAGAAUCUCUGAUCCUCAAGUUCCUAACAUGAGUUAAUAUUUUUCAUUUAACUUGUGAAAUGUUUGUUUUUGUCAAGCUUUCAUUUCUGUAAUAAAGCUAAAAAUUAAAACCAGUAUUUUUUUUUGAAAGUUAUUGUUUUAAUUGUUUGAAAAUAAAUUGAUGGCAUAAGCAGAUAGCUAAAUCCGUAUCACCAUGAUACUGACCUUUAAACUGUGAAUAACAACAAUUCUACUGGCUGUGAACUUUGGCAUUUUCUUUUCAGGGCAAGGCAUGUGAAAAUAAUAAGGAAGACCGAGUAUGAGUAUCCUAGCUACUUGGUCAUCAGCAAAAAACUCCUUGAAUGGAAAUUUUCAUCUCCUUGGUUCAAAAUUACAUAAAAACUAUAGCAUACAUUGUCAAAAUCUAAGCUUUGUCUGUGUCAUUCCUGCAAGAAGAUGGCACAUUGCUUAAGAGUUGCUAUAACAGGUUUGUAACUGUGUAUGAAGUUACUGUAAAAAGUAAGAAAUGAUGACUGAGUGCUUGGCCCUCGCUCUCCCUCUCCCUCUCCCU
Molecule: unclassified non-coding RNA, 715 nt
Filed under: Hevea brasiliensis (rubber tree)
Lineage: Eukaryota; Viridiplantae; Streptophyta; Magnoliopsida; Malpighiales; Euphorbiaceae
Source: RNAcentral